RNAcentral lists this ribosomal RNA (449 nucleotides) under uncultured Methanosaeta sp. Its description in RNAcentral is "bacterial SSU rRNA". It matches the Rfam family "Archaeal small subunit ribosomal RNA", at positions 889 to 1338 of the family's 1478-position model. Lineage: Archaea; Methanobacteriati; Methanobacteriota; Methanomicrobia; Methanotrichales; Methanotrichaceae. The record is from RNAcentral.
UGGAGCUUGCGGUUUAAUUGGAUUCAACGCCGGAAAUCUACCGGGACCGACAGCAAUAUGAAGGCCAGGCUGAAGACUUUGCCGGAUUAGCUGAGAGGUGGUGCAUGGCCGUCGUCAGUUCGUACUGUGAAGCAUCCUGUUAAGUCAGGCAACGAGCGAGACCCACGCCCACAGUUGCCAGCGUACUCUCUGGAGUGACGGGUACACUGUGGGGACCGCCGCUGCUAAAGCGGAGGAAGGAAUGGGCAACGGUAGGUCAGUAUGCCCCGAAUAUCCCGGGCUACACGCGAGCUACAAUGGUUGGUACAAUGGGUAUCUACCCCGAAAGGGGAUGGGAAUCUCCUAAAACCAAUCUUAGUUCGGAUUGAGGGCUGCAACUCGCCCUCAUGAAGCUGGAAUCCGUAGUAAUCGCGUUUCAACAGAACGCGGUGAAUACGUCCCUGCUCCUU